Molecule: ribosomal RNA, 641 nt
Filed under: Porina alba
Lineage: Eukaryota; Fungi; Ascomycota; Lecanoromycetes; Ostropales; Porinaceae
Description: SSU rRNA
Rfam family: Bacterial small subunit ribosomal RNA
Source: RNAcentral
GUUACAUUAAAUUCUAGGUAAAUUUUUGAUUAUGACAUAGUUUAUCUAUAAGUCUUGACCAAAUCAUGUGCCAGCAGUCGCGGUAAGACAUGGAAGACAAGUGUUAUUCAUGAUUAGUGGGUUUAAAGGGUACUCAGACAGUUAAUUAAGCCUAUAUAUUAUGCAGGUACUAAUUAUACUAGAGUUUUAUGGAAGAAGGCUAGAACGGUGAGUGGAGAGAUGAAAUAUGUUGAUACCACCUAGAUACUGACAACGGUGAAGACAACCUUUUAUGUAAUAACUGACGUUAAAGGACGAAGGCUCAAGAGAAAGCAACAGGAUUAGGUACCCCAGUACUGUGGGCAGACAAUGAUGAGUGUCAUAGGUAAGUUUUUUAAUUUAAUUAAUAAAUUAUAAGUUUACGUAUAAAUGAAAGUGUAAGCACUCCACCUUAAGAGUAACAUGGCAACAUCGGAACUGAAAUCAUUAGACCGUUUCUGAAACCAGUAGUGAAGUAUGUUGUUUAAUUUGAUGAUCCACAAAAAACCUUACCACAAUUUGAAUUACUCACAGGAGUUGCACGGCUGUCUUCAGUUGAUAUCGUGAGAUUUUGGUUAGAUCCAUCAAUCAACGUAAACCCUUACUUUAUUUUUUUCAUAAAG